AUUUGAUUUAUUUUUUGUUUGAUCUUUCUAUUUAUAUUUUGUAUUGGUAAAUGGAUCCAUUUUUCUUGUUUAUUUAUUUUUUCUUGUUCUCUCUUUCCUUCUUUAAUAUUGGACAAAAGAUGUUUAUUCAUUUGUUAACUAGUGAAUUGUGAUAUUUGAAACCUUUAGCAAGAUUAAGCAUGAGCUUAAAUGUUGUAGUUACUACUGCAUGCUCAUUGCAGUCCUGUCCUGUUUUAAGAGGGUUUUCUUUUUUCAAGCAGUUUGGCUCAUCAAAUGCAAGGAUUCUGAAUUUUCAUCUUUUCAUUGACUUAUUUUUGUAUGUAUUAUAGAAAUGGUUCUAGAAAGCAGUUGAUACCAGUACAUAGUGUGUUCAUAAUGGUAUAACUAAGUCUAGCUACUGCUACAUAGAGAUUGGAGCUGAUUUUGCAGCUGUAUUGGCUGUAAUGAUCUGUUACAGUGUCAUAAUCGCCUUUUUGGGCCAUUACAGCCUGUUACAACAUGAAAAUUUACUAGGCAGCUGCAAAUAAUUGCUUGACCUCAUUUUCAUUUUUUUUAAUUCUUUUUUCACAUAUUCUUCUAUUUAAUAUUUAGGAACCUUGCCUUCCGAAUCAGAUUUACACUUUCAAAGAUCAGGAUAAUAAUGAAUAGAUUCAAGUUUCAUAUUGAAGAAGUCAAAACUUCACAUUUCUUUGUCAGAACCUUGAUAGUAUCUUAUUUAAUUACACUGUAUUUGGAAAAUUAGUCCGGAAUAGCUGUGAUUGAAAUCAGCAAUGGUUGGUAGUUAUGAAAUUAUGGGGUGGUUUGGGAUGAUCUAAGAAAGUGUGCUUUUUGACUUUUUAUGAAAUAUGGGUUGGGUAUGGGUUGGGUUUGAAGUGAUGUGGUAGAAAGGCGAUGUGACUUAAAUAAAAUGACGUGACUUAAAUAGGAUAGUGACUUUUUAACUUUUUGGCUUUUUUAGGUUAUGUCAAACAAAGCCUAUAAUUAACAAUGCCUUAGAAGCUACUAUAAAAUUCAAAAUCCUGACAAAACAUGUCUUCAGUUAUUGUUAGAUUCACAAAAAUCUUAAAAACUUAAAUUUGGUACACUGAAACAUGCAUAUGAGUUUGGUUAUGUUUUUCCAGUGCCAUUUAUCCAACAAAAAAAAAAAGAAAAAAAAGUUAUGUCUUUCCAGUGCCAUUCAAAUUUUCAAAUAUGGGUUUGGUAUGGGUUGGGUUUGAAGUGAUGUGGUAGAAAGGUGAUGUGACUUAAAUAAAAUGACGUGACUUAAAUAGGAUAGUGACUUUUUAACUUUUUGGCUUUUUUAGGUUAUGUCAAACAAAGCCUAUAAUUAACAAUGCCUUAGAAGCUACUAUAAAAUUCAAAAUCCUGACAAAACAUGUCUUCAUUUAUUGUUAGAUUCACAAAAAUCCUAAAAACUUAAAUUUGGUACACUGAAACAUGUAUAUGAGUUUGGUUAUGUUUUUCCAGUGCCAUUUAUCCAACAAAAAAAAAAAGGAAAAAAAGUUAUGUCUUUCCAGUGCGAUUCAAAUUUUCAUCUCUGUUGUUGCUGCCAAACCGGCCACAUGCCACGUGCCCCCGCUUUAUUCUUGUUCAGCUUGCCACGUGUCGCAGACUGCCAUGUGUUGUGCAAUCUCCACUGCAAUUCAAGUCUGUGGCUGACAACUUCAUUGCAAGGGACAACAACCCUCCACGCAUGGUUUACAUCUACUAGUACCAAAACUGAACUAUGUGCUCUAUGCUGCUUGAUUUCUGCACAAUGAAUCAACGUCUACUGCGGGAACUUCCUUUGCACCCUCUACAGCAGUGCUUACACUUUGAUUCUCUGCCUCACAGACCCUCGGGGUCAACUGAAGGUUCUGCCUAUUCAUAAAUAACAUACUCCUAUUCGGCGUAGACUACAAUCGAUUUUGGUUGCCUGCACUUCUCAGUGAGAGAUUACAAGCAAGAAUAUUCUUCUUCACUUGUGCAAUUUUGCUCUUCAAAUUGAGCAAUUUUCUGAGCUUGUUCCAUAGUGCAAUCUUCUGAGCUUGUUCCAUAGUGCAAUCUGGAAAGUCCUCCCCAAUUUCACACAAUCUUGCACUACUCGGAGAAUCACCCCCAUCAGCCAAAGCAAACACUAAUUCAGGACACUCUGCUCCGUUUGAAAACUUUCCAUACAAACCUGAGUCAACAUCAUUUCUUGGAUAGCAGAGAUGAACCACACCCAAUAAAAGAUUUUCAAUUUCGAUUUUACUGUCGGCUUCUUUGAUUUAGUUUUCUUCCCCAUGAAUUCAAUGGAAUUUGAGAUAAACUCUAGAGCACAUAGAGAGCACAUAGCCAUCCUUUCGUUCGAUUUUAUGGACCUACAUGUGUACACACAGACAUCGGUGUAGAUUACUUGUUUUUGGGUUUGCCACUUUGGUUUUCCUAAAUUUAUUAAUCAUUUUUCAUCUAGUAAUUAAACCAAACCAAACCAAACCAAACCAAACCAAACCAAGUCAAGCUUUAAGUCACAUAAAAUGGGGUCAGCCACAUAAAUCAUUCUUUUCAACUUGACUCUAUAAACGGCCAUUUGGUUAGUCAAAUUAAGGAGAUCCAUAUCUCUAUUUAUUACACUAGUCCACGCCAAUCUAGAUUUGCUCCUUCCCCUAACACUUCCAUUUAACGUCACGAUAUCGCAUAUUUUAACUACUAUCUCUAUUGGUCUCUAUUGUAUAUGCCCAAACCAUUUCAAUUUAUUCUCUCGGUCAACUUAUCUUCUAGGUACUAGUACUACUCCUACCCAUUUACGAAUACUCAUUCCUAACUUUAUCUUUUCUAGUUUUGCCAUACAUCUACCUUAGCAUCCUUAUCUCAGCAACACUCAUCUUAUCUAUAUGUUAUUUCUUAGUUGCCUAACAUUUCAUCUCAUACAACAUCGCUAAUCUAAUAGCUGUUCUAUAGAAUUUUCCUUUUAGUCUAGUGGGUACUCGUUUAUCGCACAGUAUCCCAGACACACUCUUCCAUCGAUCCUAAAUAACCAAAAUGUUCACUCUUAGGUAGUUCUUAGUUCUUAAUCUUCAUUUCUCCUUUGCCUCCAUUGUUAUUGUUCCUAAAAUUACACUCUAUGUACUUAGUCUUAGUUUUGUUUAUCCUAAAUCCUUUAGAUUCUAGUGCUUUUCUCCAAAUCUCCAACUUAGUGUUAAGUCAUUCUCUAGUCUCAUCCACUAAUACGAUCUCAUUUGCAAAAAAUAUAUACUAUGGCACAUCAUUUUGAAUAUUUCUCGUCAACUUAUCCAUAACUAAAACAAAAAGAUAAGGACUUAAGGUUGAUUUUUAGUAUAACCUCAUAGUAAUUGAAAAUUCACUUGUCUUUCCAGCAAGCGAUCUAAUAGAGGUCACCACACUUUCAUACAUGUCCCUAAUCACAUCAAUGUAACCUUUUGUCACCACUUUCUUCUUUAACACCCUUAUCAUAUGUUUUUUCAAGAUCGAUAAAAACCAUAUGAAUGUCUCUUUUCUUUUCUCUAUACUUUUCUAUUACUCUCCUCAAAAGAUAAAUCACUUCCAUUGUUAACCUACCCAACAUAAAUCCAAAUUAAUUCUCUUACAUCUUUGUUAUAUCUUGCAAUCAACGUUCAAUCAUUCUCUCCCACACUUUCAUUUAAUGGCACAUUAGCUUGAUUCCUCUAUAGUUGUUGCAGUUCUAUACAUCUCCUUUGUUUUUAAAUAUUGGCACUAAAAUACUCUUUCUUCACUUCUCUGGCAUUUUCUUAGUCAACAAAAUCUUACUAAAUAACCUAGUUAACCAAGCAACUCUCUUCUUACCCAAACAUUUCCAAGCUUCAAUAGGGAUAUCAUCGUGUCCUAAAGUCUUAUUCGAUUUCAUCUUCUUAAGUGCAAUAUCCACUUCAAAGUUCCUAAUCCUGCGAUAGAACCUGUAAUCUUUGUUUUCCUUAUUACUGGCUAUUUCCUCCCUUUUUGACCUUCUUCCAUGUUCCUCAUUUAACAACUUUUCAAAAUAGUUCUUUCAUUUCUCCUUAAUCUUUUCAUCCUUCACCAAUAUUUUAGAGUCCUCACUCUUGAUGCACUUAACCUGAUUAAAAUUUCUUAUUUUCCUUUCUCUUAUCUUAGUAAGUUUGUAUGUUCUCUUCUCCCCUCCUUACUAUCUAAUCUAGUGUAUAAGUCAUCAUAGACUGUCAACUUAGCUUCUCACACUCUUUUGUUAACCUCCUUAUUUGCCAAUCUAUAGCUCUUCUGCCACUUUUUAAAGCACUCUUUAUUUGUCUUUACUACUGUUUGAACCUCCUCCCUCCACCACCAAGUUUCCUUAGAAUUGGAUCCCUUUCUUUUUGAUUCUCCAAGGACUUUCCUUGCGAUUCUCCUCAUACAAUUGACUAUUGAGUUCCACAUAGUGUUAGCAUCAUCUUCUAAGUCUCAAUUACAUUAUUUAUCCAUUCUAGUCUUAAAUAUUUUUGGUUUAUCCCCUUUUAAGUCUCACCAUCUCGUCUUAUGAUGCCCACUAUUCUUCCUAGCUUGAUAUUGCCCAGUGUUUUUAAAGGCUCAAGGCGCACUAAGGCGCUGAAGGUCUCUCGGGGCCUAGGCGCAAGGCGAGACGCAGGCUUUAUUGAAGUAAGGCGCACAGUUUUCGUAAAAAAUA
Non-coding RNA from Camellia sinensis, 4618 nucleotides. NCBI's taxonomy places the organism in Eukaryota, Viridiplantae, Streptophyta, Magnoliopsida, Ericales, Theaceae. The record is from RefSeq and is a predicted model, not a curated record.